UACGAAGGGGGCUAGCGUUGCUCGGAAUUACUGGGCGUAAAGGGAGCGUAGGCGGAUAGUUUAGUCAGAGGUGAAAGCCCAGGGCUCAACCCUGGAAUAGCCUUUGAUACUGGCUGUCUUGAGUAUGGGAGAGGUAAGCGGAACUCCGAGUGUAGAGGUGAAAUUCGUAGAUAUUCGGAAGAACACCAGUGGCGAAGGCGGCUUACUGGCCCAUUACUGACGCUGAGGCUCGAAAGCGUGGGGAGCAAACAGG
RNAcentral lists this ribosomal RNA (253 nucleotides) under uncultured bacterium. RNAcentral's name for it is "partial 16S ribosomal RNA". It matches the Rfam family "Bacterial small subunit ribosomal RNA", at positions 524 to 776 of the family's 1533-position model. The record is from RNAcentral.